This 78-nucleotide transfer RNA is filed under the name Caudoviricetes sp. RNAcentral describes it as "tRNA-Leu". It matches the Rfam family "tRNA". From Rfam's summary of the family: Transfer RNA (tRNA) molecules are approximately 80 nucleotides in length. The record is from RNAcentral. Lineage: Duplodnaviria; Heunggongvirae; Uroviricota; Caudoviricetes.
GCUCGCGUGGGCAAAUUGGCAAAGCCGACUGACUCAAAAUCAGUAGUUUUGUGGGUUCAAAUCCCACCGUGAGUACCA